Non-coding RNA from Phalacrocorax carbo (great cormorant), 4989 nucleotides. NCBI's taxonomy places the organism in Eukaryota, Metazoa, Chordata, Aves, Suliformes, Phalacrocoracidae. The record is from RefSeq and is a predicted model, not a curated record.
GAGAAGUUGGCGGCGGCGGCGGCGGCCUGGGGAUAGCGGAGCGGCGGGAGCGCAGGUUGGGCCCUGCCGCUCCCCGUCACUCUCCAGGAGCAGGUGAGCCACUGACUAACGCACAUUGUGCUCUCGGCGACUCCACUGUGCGUGUGACAGCGGCUAACCUGCUCCUCGGGCAUCGCUGUGCGGCCGCAUCGCCUCCACGGACACACGCUUCGACGCCGCGACGCCUCCGUCCCCUCCACGACACCCAGGUGAGAGGCUCUGGUGUGCGAAGGAGUUGCCCCAACACCUAGGUGAGGGGCUGCGGCAUGCACCCCGCAACCAACGCCACUCUAGCCUCCAGCUGCCUCCCAUCCUUGGCCUGGUGGACUUGCAACCAGUAACAUCCUGCAAUCAGAACAUGAAAAGAUUUAAUGCUUCUUGCAGCGGGGCUGGAAGUGGAGAUGAGGGGAGCGGGCCGUGGCAGUGUGUGGGCGCAAAGAGUCAGCAGUAAAGUUGCACAGGAGGGAUGGCGUACCCCCUCUCUCUCCUCCCCUGCUGUUCUCCAAAGUAAAUAAGUGCUAGUGGACUCCGUACCAAGUUAAAGAGACACUUCAUCCCAGCCGGUGACGUCUUGAUAUCCAGUCAGUGACUAACUGAACUGCUAUUGCCAAGGGUGUGUUAAUAGAAGAAACCGUGCCUGGUAUUGCCCUGGAUGAGUCACCUUUAAAGAGAGACUCUCUAGUCUGUUAAAUGAAAAGCAGAAACAAGCCUUGCUUUCCUUUUUUGUUCCUAUUUUGUUUCCCAUCCUGCCCCUCACCUUUGCUUGCCGCUUUCUGCUACUUGCACUAGGGUUCUGGGAGCCCCCUGGGCCCUGGCUGGGUGCUGGCGGAGCUGCCUUGCGUGAUCGCGCUGUGAUGUCACACGGGGGACUCUGACUUCAUGGUCCUGAGGAGCAGGAAGGCGAGCCAGGCAGGGACUCCUCCAGCUGCCCAGGGUGGCUGUUACUUGAAAUGGAGGAAGUGACAAAGCAGAUUGCUUCUCCUACAAAGUUCACUUUUGCAAUUUUCGGGCUGGUGAAGAAGGUGGGUUGUUGAAAAGUGUCUUUUUUUGAAGCGCAGCACAGCUUUAUCAGCAGCUUAAGCUCAAUAACCAACUAGGAUUCGGCACAGCCUGCUGAGGUCCCUGAAAGGGCUCGGGUAUUCUCCUUCUUGCUUGGGCUGUUCAGGUGUAGUCUUGGACCAUUGUAAAGGCUUGAUCUGAAGGCAUCGGCAGUGCUCUGGUCAGUAAGUAGUUAAUUGUACGGAAGGCAGAGCAACAUCCUCUGCACGGAUGAAGUCUCUCACAGAAAUUUUGCCUGUCCCCAUCUCUCCCGCCUGCAUUCAUUUGUUGUUUCUCCCUCUGGGUCCCGGAGGAGUACCUGCUCUUCUGCAAGAAAAAUCAGCUCACUCUGUGCCCCGCGCAGACCGAGUGAGUCCAGGGUGCUCAAACGUGCUAGAAAGAGAGCAAAGACACCUGAAUUUACCCAAACUGCUUUCAUGCUUGUUCAGAAGCCAAACGGGCCAUUUUUGAUGGGGAGGGGGAAACAAGUUUGCAGCGUUCUCAGCUCCAGGCGGCUUUCCUUCUACCUAGCUGCACCUACAGCAUCUUCCCACUGCUGGUCCUGAGCAGGCAGGAGCAUGGCAUAGCCACGUGGAGAGCCAGGGAGAGGGGGAAAGCUGUGCAAAAUAUGCCUGUGUGUGAGUGUGUCUGUGAGCUGAAACUGAAGCCCUGUUGUCCCCUACCGCCCCAUCUCAUAGGAGACCGUGCACUUAACGAACCUGUAUCUGAAAACGAAGGCGCUCUGUUUCUCUUUGAAGCAACAGCCCUGCGUUUGGGACUGUGCUGCCGGGUGACUAACCCCUGGAGACACCACUGGCAGAAGCAGCUCUGCCAGUUGCCUGGCAAGACUUGUCCCAGUUCCCACGAGCAGCGCCAUGGUAUGAACGUCUUCUGACUUCCCGCUACCUACAGAACCAUCCUGCUCAGCUCCAGUAAGCAAAGGGCAAGGUAGAAUGCUCUCAGUCUUUACCCUGAGACAGAGAAAGGAAAAUCAUCAGUGGGAGAGCGGACAAUGCUCCCUGCAUGGAUAUUCAUGGGAGUUCAAAUAGUUUCUCUUCUCCAUCUGCAGUGAACUACCCUUGUAUGAGCUGUGCGCCAAGGAGCAAGCAGCAGAGCAUCUGCACACCACUUGGGGAGCAAAACCAACAGGCAUUUUCUCCUCCAGUCAUUCACACCUUUUCUUAUGUAACUGGUGCUGAAGUGUGUGCUUUAAAAGCUGCUUGCCAAAUCCAGGGGCUGGGAGGCAGCACAAAUGCUUCUAGCACUCUAGAUGAAAUUUAGACAGGGUCAAAACCAAACCCAAACGCUGAGGAACUCAUACAAAUCCAUGACUGCAAAUUUGGGGUGUUUCAAGUGUCUGCAGCUGUGCUGCCCUUGAGAAACUGUACUGGCCUGGGGGCAGCACUGGCACCCUGACCGCUGUCUGCAGAGGAUGCCUGGCCUGACAAGCCAACACAGUCCAGAGCUGAUGGGUGAAGAGCUGGGAGCCAUUUUUCUUAUGCAAUACUUAAAAAAAAAAAAAAAAAAUAUCAGGUAGAGCAGGGAGGAGAGGAGCCCCAGGGAGGCUGAAUGGUACCUGGUGCUGACAGAGCCUGCAUCCAGUCUGCAGAUUUAUUUUAUUUUAAAAAACAAACUAAACCAGCUGUGACUUCACCAGUGAAAAACAGGUGUGUCCUCUGCUUUGUGAUUUCUGGGUGGCACUGAAGCGAGAAGCAUCUGAGGAGGGAGAAGCCCUGAAGCCUGCCACAGGGAAGGCAGAAGCUGCCCCACAGCACCCAAGGGAUGCGGGGACAUGACUCCCUACUCACCCAGGUACAGCACCCUCAAGCCACCCUGUACACUUGGAUCCCUGCCUUGCCCCUGAGCCAGUCAUUCCCUCUCUAGCAUGCACCCUACGCUGGGCUUUUGGUUUGUUUUUUAAGGGAAAACCCCAGUAAUUUCUUUGCUUUGUUUUAAUCUCAUAACAAUGAGUAAUUCCUACCGCUCUGUAGUGGCCUAGAAUAGGACAGCAUCGUCUCCACUACAGCAAGGCGGCUUCUCCCAGGGCAUAAAAUUUUAAUUAGGAACAAUCACGCAGCCUUGAAAUGGGAAUUGUGAGCAGCAAAAAAAGUCAAACCAUCAAUAAAAUAUUCAAUGGCAGAAAUGUAUUAUUGACACAGCCUUUAGAGCAGAUAAAAGCAGAAAGGCUGGGGAGCCAGAGUGGUAUCGAGCCUUGCUUGGUUAAAUAAUGCACAGGGACCUGCACGCUCACCAUGCCAUUGCACGCCCCCCAUGCCAGGAGGAAUAUAGGUCACCCACGGGUGGGGAGUUUCCUAAGGUAAUAAAUGAGUUUGAUUAACGCCUCUCCCCCCACUGUGGUGUGUGCCAUGGUGGAGGAGAGGCGUUAAUUAAAGUAAUUUAUUACCUUAGGAAACACGGCUGCCUUUGCAGGCCACAUAGUGGGGCGGGGGUGGGGGGGUGGGGGAGGAAUCUGCAAAAUGCCACAGCCUUGUGAUACAAAAAAACCCCAGAGCUAGCCUCUGGCCAUGGUGCUCUCCCUAACCCUAUGCCUGAUCCUCAGACCUCGGUGGGGGACACGGCUGACUUACACCAUCCCCCAUCCCAUGCAGCAGUUCCACAUCCUACCUCCCAGCCAAGGGGCAUCAGCUACAGGGCCAAAAUCUGCCAUGAUAUACAUUUUUAAACACCCCCCCCCCUUUUUUUUUUUGCCCACAAGUCAUUGGUGCUGGUUUGGCUUGCCAAAUCAUGGCUGAACAGAAAUAACCUGCCAUAAUAAUAAAUAAUAUAUAAGCAGAAGCGCAGGGCAAAAGUCUUCAUGAAAAAUCAGAGAUUUAAAUUAAUUUUCUGCCCUGUUUCUCCUGGCGGGAGGUAUCGUAAGUGAUGACCCUUUUCUCUUUAUUCCCAUUUAUUUUGCAGAAAGCAAAGCUACAAAUGUAGCCCCCAAAAAUGAAAGAUCCAGUUUUUAACCCACAGAGCUCUUUUUGUUUCCAGGGCACUCAAAGGAUGUCACACAACAUCCCAAAAUCUGGCCAUGUCCAAGACAAGUGGGUUUUUAGAACCCUCUUCUUGGAUGUUUUUUCCCCAGGCAGCACUGAAAUGCUCUGUACCACUUCUAUCACCCUCCACUUCUCUUAGCAAGGUGGAGUCUCAUUUUAAAAGGAGGCUUUGCAGAAAUUGAGCGGAAGAAGCCCAAAAAUCAAGCAAGCAGGAGAGAAACUCCUUGAUGCAGCUGCCAUGAGCAAAAAUAUUUUUAACUCCUUUUUCCCAAGAUAAGUGAUUUAAGGAGUGGGAGUGGGGGAGGGGCAUGGGACACCAACCCUACCCUCCACCCCAAAAAAACCCUGAUUCAAAAGAGACAAGUCUGAAAUUGCAUCUCCCCCUGCAGCUCCUCUGCAGUUGUAACCGGAGAUACAGCUGCACCACUGCUCUCCCAGUGAAGCAAACUUUAAUCCUUCAAUAUCACUUGGCCAACCUGCCGAGCUGCAGUAGCACCUUGAAAAUGGGCUUUGAGAGGGGCUCGUCCCGGAGGACCAGAGCCCAGCAGAGCCUCAGGGGAGAUGCUGAUGGAGGGCAAGAGCUAACAUUCUUGCCUGUGGUUAUCCAGGUGCAGAUGGAGGGGCUUGAAAGUGAAUGGGAAAUUUCCCCCUUACCUGCUCCUAUCUGCAGCCGAGCACCAUCCCCUUCACCUCCUGUCCUAAAAUGCUCCGAGCUGCUGCUGUGCAUUAUUAAAAUGCUGCCAUGUUUCAUCCCAGAGACGGCCGCCCUCUCACCAGAGACAAGCUUCAUCUGCUGGUUGUAAAGCACUUUGAUUCAAAAAAAAAAAAAAAAAAAAAAAAAAAAAAAGACAAGCCAGCAUGUGCGUAAGAGGCAUUCGGUCAUAAAAUACUUACAGCUUUAAUUUGGCAAAUGGAA